AUGCAAGUCGAGCGAUUUUUUUAGAACCCGUAAGGGUUUUUUAAAGAUAGCGGCAGACGGCUGAGUAACGCGUAGGAAUUUUCCCUUAUCUCGAGCAUAGCCCCGCGAAAGCGGGAGUAAUUCUCGAUAGUCCCUCCGGGGUAAAGAUUUUUCGGAUAAGGAUAAGCCUGCGUCCUAUCAGGUUGUUGGUGAGGUAAUGGCUCACCAAGCCUAUGACGGGUAGCUGGCCUCAGAGGGUGGUCAGCCAAACUGGGACUGAGACACGGCCCAGACUCCUACGGGAGGCAGCAACUAGGAAUUAUGCGCAAUGGGGGCAACCCUGACGCUGCGACGUCGCGUGGAGGAUGAAGGUCUUCGGAUUGUAAACUCCUUUUAUCGGGGAGCAAGUUCUGAGGGUACCCGAUGAAUAAGUGCCUGCUAACCACGUGCCAGAAGCAUCGGUAAUACGUGGGACACAAGCGUUAUCCGGUUUUACUGGGCGUAAAGAGAUGCGUAGGCGAUUUUUUAAGUUAUUUGUUAAAUCCCGAUGCUCAACAUCGGGACCGCAAGUGAUACUGGAAGAAUUGAGUCAGGUAGAGAGAAGAGGAAUUCCUGGUGGAGCGGUUAAAUGCGUUGAUAUCAGGAGGAACACCAAUUGUGAAGACAUCUUCUUGGACCUGUACUGACGCUAAGGCUCGAAAGCGUGGGGAGCAAAACGGAUUAGAUACCCGUGUAGUCCACGCUGUAAACUAUCCUCGUUAGAUAUCUGUAGUUUCUUUAGUAUUCUUUUUUUCGAAAAAGUGUUACCGGAAAGUAUGGGUGUCGCAGCUAACGCGUUAAACGAGGCGCCUGUGGAGUACGGCCGCAAGGCUAAAACACAAAGGAAUUGACGGGGACCCGCACAAGCAGUGGAGCGCCUGGUUUAAUUCGAUGAUCCACGAAGAACCUCACCUGGGCUUGAACUGUAGCUGCAUUUCCGGUGAAAGCCGGAAGUCCUUCGAGGGUGCUAUAGAGGUGCUGCAUGGCUGUCGUCAGCUCGUGUCGUGAGAUGUAGGGUUAAGUCCCACAACGAGCGCAACCCCUAUCUGAUGUUAAAAUUACUUCAGAGACUGCCCUACCACAAUAGGGAGGAAGGAGGGGAUGACGUCCAGUCAUCAUAUCCCUUAUGUCCAGGGCUACACAGACGCUACAAUGGCCAUUACAACGGGUUUGCCAAACCGCAAGGUGGAGCUAAUCCCAUCAAAAAUGGUCUCAGUUCAGAUUACAGGCUGCAACUCGCCUGUAUGAAGUCGGAAUUGCUAGUAAUCGCGUAUCAGCAUGGCGCGGUGAAUACGUUCUCGGGUCUUGUACACACCGCCCGUCAAGGCAUGGGAGUUGCUUUUGCUCGAAGCCCCCGAGGUA
RNAcentral lists this ribosomal RNA (1380 nucleotides) under uncultured bacterium. RNAcentral's name for it is "16S ribosomal RNA". It matches the Rfam family "Bacterial small subunit ribosomal RNA". The record is from RNAcentral.